This 209-nucleotide ribosomal RNA is filed under the name Morganella morganii. RNAcentral describes it as "partial 16S ribosomal RNA". It matches the Rfam family "Bacterial small subunit ribosomal RNA", at positions 1 to 214 of the family's 1533-position model. The record is from RNAcentral. Lineage: Bacteria; Pseudomonadati; Pseudomonadota; Gammaproteobacteria; Enterobacterales; Morganellaceae.
UAAUUGAAGAGUUUGAUCAUGGCUCAGAUUGAACGCUGGCGGCAGGCCUAACACAUGCAAGUCGGGCGGUAACAGGGAGAAGCUUGCUUCUCCGCUGACGAGCGGCGGACGGGUGAGUAAUGUAUGGGGAUCUGCCUGAUGGCGGGGGAUAACUACUGGAAACGGUAGCUAAUACCGCAUAAUGUCUUCGGACCAAAGCGGGGGACCUC